RNAcentral lists this unclassified non-coding RNA (477 nucleotides) under Hevea brasiliensis (rubber tree). The record is from RNAcentral. Lineage: Eukaryota; Viridiplantae; Streptophyta; Magnoliopsida; Malpighiales; Euphorbiaceae.
UAGGCAGUCCAGCUGGUGGAAAGCAUAUCGGUGCUCUGUUGCAAAUGAGGUGGCGUAUUUAAGACCAUACUUUUGCAUGCUGUUAAGCAAACUUCCAGUAAAAUCCUUCAGCUCAAGGCCUUUUAACAAUUCUGUAAUGGGGAGAGAGCUUUGCAUUGUUGAGCUUGAAGUUCAGCCUAACAAGCAUUUGGUGGUUGCCACAAGCCAUCUUGAAAGUCCCUGCCCUGCGCCUCCAACAUGGGAUCAGAUGUUCAGCAAGGAACGUGUAGAUCAGGUGACGGAGGCCACCGACUUUCUCAAGAAGAAUCCAAAUGUGAUUUUUGGAGGGGACAUGAACUGGGAUGACGAGUUAGAUGGUCAGUUUCCUCUACCUGAUGGAUGGGUUGAUGCGUGGACAGAGUUAAGACCAGGGGACAAUGGAUGGACGUAUGAUACCAUGUCCAAUCGGAUGUUGUCAGGGAACCGAACAUUGCAAAA